UACGAAGGGGGCUAGCGUUGCUCGGAAUUACUGGGCGUAAAGCGUGCGUAGGUGGUUUGUUUAAGUCUGUUGUGAAAGCCCCGGGCUCAACCUGGGAAUGGCAAUGGAUACUGGCAGGCUAGAGUGCGGUAGAGGGUAGUGGAAUUCCCGGUGUAGCGGUGAAAUGCGUAGAGAUCAGGAGGAACACCGAUUGCGAAGGCAGCUCGCUG
RNAcentral lists this ribosomal RNA (209 nucleotides) under uncultured bacterium. RNAcentral describes it as "partial 16S ribosomal RNA". It matches the Rfam family "Bacterial small subunit ribosomal RNA", at positions 524 to 731 of the family's 1533-position model. The record is from RNAcentral.